This 492-nucleotide ribosomal RNA is filed under the name uncultured bacterium. RNAcentral describes it as "partial 16S ribosomal RNA". It matches the Rfam family "Bacterial small subunit ribosomal RNA", at positions 29 to 507 of the family's 1533-position model. The record is from RNAcentral.
AGUGAACGCUGGCGGUAGGCCUAACACAUGCAAGUCGAACGGCAGCACAGUAAGAGCUUGUUCUUACGGGUGGCGAGUGGCGGACGGGUGAGGAAUACAUCGGAAUCUACUUUUUCGUGGGGGAUAACGUAGGGAAACUUACGCUAAUACCGCAUACGACCUACGGGUGAAAGCAGGGGAUCUUCGGACCUUGCGCGAUUGAAUGAGCCGAUGUCGGAUUAGCUAGUUGGCGGGGUAAAGGCCCACCAAGGCGACGAUCCGUAGCUGGUCUGAGAGGAUGAUCAGCCACACUGGAACUGAGACACGGUCCAGACUCCUGCGGGAGGCAGCAGUGGGGAAUAUUGGACAAUGGGCGCAAGCCUGAUCCAGCCAUACCGCGUGGGUGAAGAAGGCCUUCGGGUUGUAAAGCCCUUUUGUUGGGAAAGAAAAGCAGCAGGUUAAUACCCCGCUGUUCUGACGGUACCCAAAGAAUAAGCACCGGCUAACUUCGUG